GUCGGAACGUCUGGUAGCAUCUCUGGCUGCUGUUGACCUUGUUUUUGGAGUAAAACACGGUGGAAGCUGAAUUAGUGAGGAUGACUCCUGCUCCUGUCAUCUCUAAGCUCCUCACACAUCUUUACCUGCACAUGAGGAAAAUCACUGCUGUAGAAUGCAGAUGUUCAGAGGGAGAUGAUGCCACAUCUGGUCCAGCUGAUGGAAGGUCUUGAAGUUCUCUGACUGGCCUCGACUGAAGAUGGUCGUCUCACUGGAUUUAAGGUUCAGAUGCUCAGUAACAAACUCCACCAAUGAGCCAACAGGGAAGCUUUAGGUUUAUUAAAUGUUGCUAUGAAGGUUUCACUGUUUUUCUUUGUGAAUGCAAUGAGCUCCAACUGAAACUUGAAUUAGAACUUAGAAGUAAAUCCUUCCAUCUGAAAGGAUUUAGUUGCAUUAUUAACCUCAUAACAUUCUAAUUUUUAUUCCAGUCUUGGUUGGAAAUAGAAUCUCUGUAUUGAUUCAGGUAAAAACUGAACUUCACAGCAUGUUGGAGCAAAGCAACCAGAUGAAAACUGUGAUGGUGUUGGAUUGUCAGACCGUAAUGUUGCAGCUCAAAGCAGCUUUUCUAGCUCAGUUCAUUCUGACAUUCAGCUAUGAAUCAACACAGCAGAUGGUGAUCCAUGCUGUGGAAGUCUCACAUCUCCUGAUUUAAUGGAGCUGCUUUGCACUUUUUACACUGUUUAUUCACCAACACUUUAUUUAAUAAAAGUCCCAUCUAGUUUUUAUGAGGAAUGUGAUGUUUUAAUUUCUCUGUGAAUAACUGCAGUCUAAUGCAACAGCUGGAACUCUAACAUCUGUCCUGAUAUUGAUCAUGAAGUAUUGAUCAGAAUACUGAUGGUCAGCAGUCAUCCCUGAAGUUUUACAUUAAAAUCUUUACUUGUGUUGUGAACUUUGGUAAGAAGCAGAAACUUUAGUGUUGCCAUGGAUACAUGAGUGUUAAAUUCUGUCCAUGUUUCCAUUUUGGGAAAUUCAGUCCAGCAGAUGAGUUUGUUUUUACUGCCAGCUACCGUUCAGUCUGAGAUAUUAAGAAUAAAUAAAUGUGCAUAAUGUGGAAAUGAACAGAUUUUAUUUUUAUUUAUUCCUACAGCUACUGUGUGGAAAGUUCUAGAAUGUGGAGGAAUUUAGUCUCACAGUCACAGACAAUAAAUAUUAUCUUAAAGUCGGGUUAUUGUUUAUCAGCACAAUACAAAAAGAUUCAUGUUAGAAAUAUUCCAGUUAAGACUCUAGAAUAUCAUGAUUUAUGUAAAUUUACCUCAAUAAUAUUAAUGUUCAGGUUAAGAUUGUGCUGUGAUAUUUAUUAUGUAAGUUUAGCUGAUUAAUGUUUAUGACUCUGCACUACAUUAUUUAUUUAAAUUGACAUCAUUAUUAUAAUAUUUAGGGUCAGACCCGACAGUAUUGAGAUUAAGAAAUCAAAUAUUCUAUAAAAUGUAAAUACACUGAACUAAUCUGGAUAUAUUUAAGUGAGACUCUACAAUAUUAUUUAUGACACAAAUCUAUCUAAAUCAACAUUUUAAUCAUUUUUACUCCAAACAUUUACUGGACUGAUUUAAACAUUAAAAUCACUCCUUUCUAAUCCUCUGCUGUACGUUCAAACCUGAGGCCUUAAAUAGAAACACACAAGUAUCUGAUUGAAGGAACUUCUGCAGAGUCCUGGUUCCAGAACAUGAUGAUAGAAUUAUAGACAAACUUUAACAAAAGCUGCCUGAGAGUUUACAGGUUUUUAUGUUAGAUUUCUUCAGUAAUUUAAUGAGAGUUAUCAGCAAAAAUCAAUUGUUCAUUUGAUGAACUUCAUUUCCUAAAACGUCCAGAAUUGGAGUUCAUAUCUUUGGCAGCUGUAAAGUUUCUGCUCCUUCAAAGUUCACAACACAAUGAAUAAAUUCCUAAAACACUCUCAAUGCUGGAGAGCGUUUGAUGCUGAAGCAGUGAUCAGUUUUUCUGUUUCUUCUCUGGAGAUGCACAAUGAGGGACGUCUGCAGAGACUGAGAAAGAGUCUCACCACAUCCUGACAUGAGGAAAAAGACUUUAUUGAAGACUACAAUGAGAAAAACUAUCAGAUAGCAGACGGCUGCAUUCAAGGUGAGCUCUGAACAUUUGAUCUGGAACAGGAAUUCAAUAACGGCAGCAUGAGCUUCAUUUCAGUCUGUAGCUGCUGAAUUCAUGGAUGAAUCAUCUGGCACUAGAGAAGAAGACCAUCAAACAUCCACGUCAGCUGAUGGAGGUCCAAGAGUCUCACCCAACAAACAACCUACAGAGUGAAGACCUCAAAUCUGAUUGGACGGCCUCCUAUUCAGCCACAUGUGAACAAAUGCCUCUAAGCUGAUUUGUUUUCUAAAAUAAAUCUAGUUUGAGUCCUAA
This is a long non-coding RNA of Amphiprion ocellaris (clown anemonefish), 2394 nucleotides long. RefSeq lists it as uncharacterized. NCBI's taxonomy places the organism in Eukaryota, Metazoa, Chordata, Actinopteri, Pomacentridae. The record is from RefSeq and is a predicted model, not a curated record. The transcript is spliced from 3 exons.